GUCUGCAACCAUCCCUGCAUACCACCCUGAACAUGGGCUGCCUUGUCGGACUUUGGAAGCUAAAUAUGGUGGGGCCUGGUUAGUGCUUGGCUGGGAAACUGCCUGAGAAUACCGGUGCUGUAGGCU
This is a ribosomal RNA of Cercocebus atys (sooty mangabey), 126 nucleotides long. The record is from Ensembl. NCBI's taxonomy places the organism in Eukaryota, Metazoa, Chordata, Mammalia, Primates, Cercopithecidae.